Molecule: non-coding RNA, 462 nt
Organism: Pogona vitticeps (central bearded dragon)
Lineage: Eukaryota; Metazoa; Chordata; Lepidosauria; Squamata; Agamidae
Source: RefSeq, a predicted model, not a curated record
GGUAUACUUGCUUUCAGAACCUCACAUAACAUCAGAGUAGACAGGCAGGCUAUACAAGGGCAAAAUAUAAUGUAUUUGUUCUUGAGAUCUUGAGACACAAAGGAAGAUGUCAAGACGCAGAGAUAGUACAUACACCAGCAGGGGGAUCUUGCGCAGAUCGACUGGCAGAAAAAACAAAAGGUGCAAGUCAGGAGCAGAGAUGCCAAUAAAAAGGAGAAAAGGGUAUGUACGCGUCUGUAGCACAUACUACUAUUGGAGAGGAAGAAGAUAAUUUCCAGCUGUUACCUUUCCUCUGCUGAGACUUUCCUUCUGUGGCAUCAAUGGCUCACUUUUAGGCAUCUUCCAUUAUGUGAAAAACCAUCAUAUAAGUCAACAAGCUGAGGGAAGGCUACAAGAUUGAGGAACUCUCCUAUUGAAGCAUGCUAGGCCUGCCUGUCUGUCAGUAAACUUGAUGCACCUCAA